AGAGUUUGAUCAUGGCUCAGAUUGAACGCUGGCGGCAUGCCUUACACAUGCAAGUCGAACGGCAGCACGGGGGCAACCCUGGUGGCGAGUGGCGAACGGGUGAGUAACAUAUCGGAACAUACCCUAGAGUGGGGGAUAACGUAGCGAAAGUUACGCUAAUACCGCAUACGAUCUAAGGAUGAAAUGGGGGAUCUUCGGACCUCAUGCUCAUGGAGUGGCCGAUAUCUGAUUAGCUAGUUGGUGAGGUAAAAGGCUCACCAAGCCGACGAUCGGUAGCUGGUCUGAGAGGAUGAUCAGCCACACUGGGACUGAGAUACGGCCCAGACUCCUACGGGAGGCAGCAGUGGGGAAUAUUGGACAAUGGGGGCAACCCUGAUCCAGCAAUGCCGCGUGAGUGAUGAAGGCCUUAGGGUUGUAAAGCUCUUUUGCCAGGGAAGAUGAUGACUGUACCUGGAGAAUAAGCCCCGGCUAACUUCGUG
This 479-nucleotide ribosomal RNA is filed under the name uncultured bacterium. Its description in RNAcentral is "bacterial SSU rRNA". It matches the Rfam family "Bacterial small subunit ribosomal RNA", at positions 8 to 507 of the family's 1533-position model. The record is from RNAcentral.